ACGGGUGAGUAAUGUCUGGGGAUCUGCCCGAUAGAGGGGGAUAACCACUGGAAACGGUGGCUAAUACCGCAUAACGUCGCAAGACCAAAGAGGGGGACCUUCGGGCCUCUCACUAUCGGAUGAACCCAGAUGGGAUUAGCUAGUAGGCGGGGUAACGGCCCACCUAGGCGACGAUCCCUAGCUGGUCUGAGAGGAUGACCAGCCACACUGGAACUGAGACACGGUCCAGACUCCUACGGGAGGCAGCAGUGGGGAAUAUUGCACAAUGGGCGCAAGCCUGAUGCAGCCAUGCCGCAUGUAUGAAGAAGGCCUUCGGGUUGUAAAGUACUUUCAGCGGGGAGGAAGGCGAUGUGGUUAAUAACCGCAUUGAUUGACGUUACCCGCAGAAGAAGCACCGGCUAACUCCGUGCCAGCAGCCGCGGUAAUACGGAGGGUGCAAGCGUUAAUCGGAAUUACUGGGCGUAAAGCGCACGCAGGCGGUCUGUUAAGUCAGAUGUGAAAUCCCCGGGCUUAACCUGGGAACUGCAUUUGAAACUGGCAGGCUUGAGUCUCGUAGAGGGGGGUAGAAUUCCAGGUGUAGC
RNAcentral lists this ribosomal RNA (581 nucleotides) under uncultured bacterium. RNAcentral's name for it is "bacterial SSU rRNA". It matches the Rfam family "Bacterial small subunit ribosomal RNA", at positions 102 to 679 of the family's 1533-position model. The record is from RNAcentral.